Long non-coding RNA from Telopea speciosissima, 361 nucleotides. RefSeq lists it as uncharacterized. Lineage: Eukaryota; Viridiplantae; Streptophyta; Magnoliopsida; Proteales; Proteaceae. The transcript is spliced from 3 exons. The record is from RefSeq and is a predicted model, not a curated record.
UGAGGAGAUAUUUCAUGAACUUUCAUUGGCAAUGAUUGAUUGUCAUCCACGUUCAUGGUGGUCUAUGCAUGGAAGUUCUAUUCCUUUGCUUCAAAAAAUUGCUAUUCACAUUUUGAGUCAGCCUUGUAGUUCAUCAUCAUGUGAGAGAAAUUGGAGUGCUUUUGAAGUAGUACAGACCAAGAAAAGACAAACUCUCUCAUGAUAUUUUGGAAGAUUUGGUUUACAUAAGGAUGAAUUCCCUUAUGAAAAUCAAGUCGAGAGAUAUUCAGAAGUUUGAUAAAGAAUCAAUUAAUUUAGAUAAAUUUAUUGAGAUUCCAAUAGAUGAAGAUGAUUAUUGAGUUGGAGUUCAAGAAGAAGAGGG